AAUAUUGGAGAAUGGGGGCAACCCUGAUCCAGCCAUGCCGCGUUGGUGAAGGAGGUCUUCGGGUUGUAAAGCACUUGAAGUUAGGAGGAAGCACAUUAGGUUAAUACCUUUCUGUUUUUACGUGACUGACAGCAUAAGCACCGGCCAAAUUAGUGCCAGCAGCCGCGGUAAUACGGAGGGUGCAAGCGUUAAUCGGAAUUACUGGGCGUAAAGCGAGCGUAGGUGGUUCGUUAAGUUGGAAGUGAAAGCCCCGGGCUUAACCGGGGAAUUGCAUUGAAAACUGACGAGCUAGAGUACGGUAGAGGGUAGUGGAAUUCCAUGUGUAGCGGUGAAAUGCGUAGAUAUAGGAAGGAACAUCAGUGGCGAAGGCGACUACCUGGACUGAAACUGACACUGAGGUGCGAAAGCGUGGGGAGCAAACAGG
RNAcentral lists this ribosomal RNA (424 nucleotides) under uncultured bacterium. RNAcentral describes it as "partial 16S ribosomal RNA". It matches the Rfam family "Bacterial small subunit ribosomal RNA", at positions 360 to 776 of the family's 1533-position model. The record is from RNAcentral.